Molecule: long non-coding RNA, 1319 nt
Filed under: Homo sapiens (human)
Lineage: Eukaryota; Metazoa; Chordata; Mammalia; Primates; Hominidae
Description: HSALNT0018269
Source: RNAcentral
CUACAGGGUUUGACUCCCUAGAACACUUCUAUCAAACAAAGCCGAAACGGGGAGGACAGAGAGAUAUUUUAUUCCUGAAGAAGGGAGCAUAUGGCUCUAAUUGUUGCUGACAGAUACCUGGAGAACUCCAACAUGGAUAAUGACACAGCUGUAAGAAUCAUUUUAAAAAGUAGAGCCGGAAACUCAAUGGGACCAUACCUGAAGCCUGCAUUCCUUAGACUUAAUCAGUUCAAGACAGCACAAAGCCUAUAUUUUUAUGGAUACUUCUGAAUCAGAACAAGGAACCCACGAAGGUCUAUAAAUCCAGUCUGCAUUAAACUAGUAACUCCAAAUCUUAGAAUACACUAGUCUACCAAAUAAAGUCCAACUUUUUAAAUUAUUUAAGCUCCUUGGGAAGCUGGCUUUAUCCAUACAGCUAACUAUUCUCCAGUGAUAACCCUCCAUGCUUCAUUUUAAGUGUUCUACUAAAUCUUCCCUGAAUGUCUUAGAAAUGUGCAUUCUUUUGGUUUCGUCUUGUUGCUUCUCUGUGCUUAGAAGGCCCUCUCCUAAGGCUAUCUAAAUGUUAACCAUGCUUCAAGAUCCAGUUCAAAUCCCUUUUUCUCCAUUAGUCAUUCUCUUACUACUACUUUUAGGAAGAUUCUUUCAUGGCCAUUGCGAAUAAACUGCUUCUGAGGAUAUCUACCUAAUAUAUUGUGUUACUUUUGUAUUGUUAAAAAUUCUUCUUUGCUGUAAAUUUAUUAACCUAACUUUUUUUUGCCAUGUCAAGAGUGAAUCAUAUCAUAGUUUUCCUUAAGUGGAAAUUAUAGUCUUAUAGAAAGACGACAUAUUGUUUUGCUAACAUGUUAGAGGAUCCCAUACAGAAAAAACAGGAACGUGAAAAUAAUAAAUCUUACAAUGUAAAUUAUCUUAUUUUGAUGUAUCCUUUAAAAUUAACUAUCUCAUUUUCUUGUUGUAAUGGCCAAAAGAUUCCUUUGUGAGGAACCUAAUAAGAACAUAUUUUGGAACUGCACAGCAAUUGUGGAACAAGAGAAAAUUUGAAAUGUAUUUAAUCACACUACAUUUCCAACACUUUGUUUCAGAGUAAAUAUAGGCAUCUCAACCUCAAAUAAAAUUCAUGUGCAUUAGGGUAUUUGCAAAAUUAACUGCAUGGGAUAAUACACCAAUAUAAAUUCAAUUUCCUUUUCCAAUUUCACUGAUUGCACCUCUUACAGUAAACACAUAGCUGGUCAAUUUCUCAUCAGGAAACACGAAUUGGCACUCUGUUUCGAAGGUGACAAACAAUCUUUCACCUUUCAACCUUCAAUAAGAAAAUGAAAUUU